RNAcentral lists this ribosomal RNA (299 nucleotides) under uncultured bacterium. RNAcentral describes it as "partial 16S ribosomal RNA". It matches the Rfam family "Bacterial small subunit ribosomal RNA", at positions 775 to 1067 of the family's 1533-position model. The record is from RNAcentral.
GGAUUAGAUACCCUGGUAGUCCACGCCGUAAACGUUGAAUGCUAGGUGUCGGGGGUUUCACCCCCUCGGUGCCGGAGUUAACGCAUUAAGCAUUCCGCCUGGGGAGUACGGUCGCAAGAUUAAAACUCAAAGGAAUUGACGGGGGCCCGCACAAGCGGUGGAGUAUGUGGUUUAAUUCGACGCAACGCGCAGAACCUUACCCGGCCUUGACAUCCUUGGAAUCCUUCCGAAAAGAAGGAGUGUCCCCUCACGGGGAAGCCAAGUGACAGGUGCUGCAUGGCUGUCGUCAGCUCGUGCCG